CCUUGCCAGCCCGCUCAGAAACUUAAGGAAUUGACGGGGGCCCGCACAAGCGGUGGAGCAUGUGGUUUAAUUCGAUGAUACGCGAGGAACCUUACCUGGGCUCAAAUGUAUGUUGACGUAUUCUGAAAGGGAUACUUCUUCGGACAAUAUACAAGGUGCUGCAUGGUUGUCGUCAGCUCGUGCCGUGAGGUGUCGGGUUAAGUCCCACAACGAGCGCAACCCCUAUUGCCAGUUGCUACCAGGUAAUGCUGGGCACUCUGGUGAGACUGCCCCGGUUAACGGGGAGGAAGGUGGGGACGACGUCAAGUCAUCAUGGCCCUUACGCCUAGGGCUACACACGUACUACAAUGGCGCAUACAAAGGGCAGCGAUACCGCGAGGUGGAGCCAAUCCCAAAAAGUGCGUCCCAGUCCGGAUUGCAGUCUGCAACUCGACUGCAUGAAGUUGGAAUCGCUAGUAAUUCGAGAUCAGCAUGCUCGGGUGAAUGCGUUCCCGGGCCUU
RNAcentral lists this ribosomal RNA (500 nucleotides) under uncultured Desulfovibrio sp. RNAcentral describes it as "bacterial SSU rRNA". It matches the Rfam family "Bacterial small subunit ribosomal RNA", at positions 904 to 1382 of the family's 1533-position model. The record is from RNAcentral. Lineage: Bacteria; Pseudomonadati; Thermodesulfobacteriota; Desulfovibrionia; Desulfovibrionales; Desulfovibrionaceae.